UACGUAUGGUGCAAGCGUUGUCCGGAUUUAUUGGGCGUAAAGAGCUCGUAGGCGGUCUGUCGCGUCGGAUGUGAAAACCCAGGGCUCAACCCUGGGCCUGCAUUCGAUACGGGCAGACUAGAGUGUGGCAGGGGAGACUGGAAUUCCUGGUGUAGCGGUGAAAUGCGCAGAUAUCAGGAGGAACACCGGUGGCGAAGGCGGGUCUCUGGGCCAAUACUGACGCUGAGGAGCGAAAGCGUGGGGAGCGAACAGG
Molecule: ribosomal RNA, 253 nt
Filed under: uncultured bacterium
Lineage: Bacteria
Description: partial 16S ribosomal RNA
Rfam family: Bacterial small subunit ribosomal RNA
Source: RNAcentral